AUGAAGAUUGACGAUCCCCUCGACUUCGAGGGGGAUAACGACCCCCUCCUCACCGUCCGCCGCCCCGCCAAGAGGAAGAAGGUUAUUGAGCUGGAUGAUCUCGUAGAAGAUUACUUUAAUUCCGGUAAGGAUGAGCUCAAAGCUUCUGCUGCUAAGUCUAAGGGUCGCCCCAAAGGAGACAAUUCAGAUGAUGAAGACAAGCAGGUCAGGAAGGAGAUUGACUUCUGCAAAUUUGUGGAGGAGUGUGAGGAGAAGGCGAAAGCGAUGGAUCCUGGAGAGGAUGUACCCCAAUGGGGCCAGCAAGUUUUCGGCUGUCAGAAAUCACCCUCAGGUCUUAAUGGCACGGGAGUUGAAAAUUGCCAACUUUUGCAAUCAUUCUGUGGAGAUAAGCAGUUAGGUUUUGAUCUAGAAAUUGAACGAGGAGAGGGCUUUUUAGAAGGCAUGCUGAUCAAUGGAUGGCUUUUGAAGUUGGUACUCCUAUAUGGUUCUGUUGAAGACUCUAUAGCAUCAUGGGUGCUAACCAAGUUGCUGUACUCAUCCAAUAAGAAGUUGCAAGAUUCUGCAUCUGAAUUUUGGGAUAGUCUCCUUUCCCUAAAUGAGGAUGAUAAACCAUUGGUAAACUUUGGAUACUUCCCAAGCUACUCUAUUCUUAUGGGUGCUAUACUCAACUAUGGAUACCUACAUGAUGCUCCUUGCACUAAAACUUGCACCUCUGAAAUUGCGGUUGCAGACACUUCAGAUGGUGGUCCACCUCAAAACAUCACUGCAUGGUUAAGAGUUGUAUCUGCUUGCUGCAAAAUUAGAAAAAUGCAUUCUAUCUUCUCACCUUCGGAAGCGCAAGAUGUCCUUGUUAUUGUUAUUUCCCUCUUUUUGGACCGUCGACUUGAAGGGCUGCUGCUUAUUUUGGGAGAUUGCCUGAAUUCACUCAUCUCGUACUUCAAUACGAGUGAAUGGGAAAGUAGCUGUCUGAUGGUUGCUGAGUCAAUUUCUAAGAGGGUCAACAUGGAUCUUAAUUGUUUAAGGCUUGUUGACUGCAUUACCGGAACCAACGACCAUAGCAAAUUCCUAAGGAGCGAGCUGGCCCUUCAGUUGCUCAAAAAUAGCUUCGGCCUUAAAGUAAGCAUGGUGGCGAAUGUUGAAAGGAUCCUGAAGUCGGUCACAUCGAUAAAUGUGAAGGAGAAAGAAUGCAAUUUCUUUGUGCUCUACAUGCACAUAGUUUUGGUGGACAACCUGCUCUUCUCUAGCGACGCGUUCAGAAACAAGACCGCAAUAAUCGACGCUUGGCGUAAUUUUCUACGGAACUGCUCGACCCAGAUAGGAUGCACGGACUGGAGGUUCUACGCUUCGAAGGUCCGAAACAAGGCGUCGUAUCUCCUGCAAGGUGCAAUGCUGAAAAGGCCUGCUGGCAGUGGUAGCAUUCCUGCCAAGUGA
This 1431-nucleotide ribosomal RNA is filed under the name Triticum aestivum (bread wheat). RNAcentral's name for it is "partial small subunit ribosomal RNA". The record is from RNAcentral. Lineage: Eukaryota; Viridiplantae; Streptophyta; Magnoliopsida; Poales; Poaceae.